AAGUCGUAACAAGGUCUCCGUUGGUGAACCAGCGGAGGGAUCAUUACUGAGUCACGUGCUCAAACAACCCUUCUGUGGACCUGAAUUAAACCGUUGCCUCGGCGGGCGGUCCCCUGCCAAAACCCACGUGGUUGUGGACAGAGGACCAGACAGUCCGGCACGCUUAAGGCGUCCGGCGCCAGCCGCUGGCCCUAACCAAUUAAACUCUAGUAACCUUACCUUCUGAGUUUUAAUACAAAAAAAAUAAGUCAAAACUUUCAACAACGGAUCUCUUGGCUCUG
RNAcentral lists this unclassified non-coding RNA (281 nucleotides) under fungal sp. RNAcentral describes it as "partial internal transcribed spacer region". The stretch from base 1 to 46 matches the Rfam family "Eukaryotic small subunit ribosomal RNA", at positions 1786 to 1831 of the family's 1831-position model. The record is from RNAcentral. RNAcentral also lists the same sequence under 1 other name. Lineage: Eukaryota; Fungi.